This 1149-nucleotide ribosomal RNA is filed under the name Levilactobacillus parabrevis. Its description in RNAcentral is "bacterial SSU rRNA". It matches the Rfam family "Bacterial small subunit ribosomal RNA", at positions 284 to 1426 of the family's 1533-position model. Lineage: Bacteria; Bacillati; Bacillota; Bacilli; Lactobacillales; Lactobacillaceae. The record is from RNAcentral.
UAGCCGACCUGAGAGGGUAAUCGGCCACAUUGGGACUGAGACACGGCCCAAACUCCUACGGGAGGCAGCAGUAGGGAAUCUUCCACAAUGGACGAAAGUCUGAUGGAGCAAUGCCGCGUGAGUGAAGAAGGGUUUCGGCUCGUAAAACUCUGUUGUUAAAGAAGAACACUCUUGAGAGUAACUGUUCAGGAGUUGACGGUAUUUAACCAGAAAGCCACGGCUAACUACGUGCCAGCAGCCGCGGUAAUACGUAGGUGGCAAGCGUUGUCCGGAUUUAUUGGGCGUAAAGCGAGCGCAGGCGGUUUCUUAAGUCUGAUGUGAAAGCCUUCGGCUUAACCGGAGAAGUGCAUCGGAAACUGGGAGACUUGAGUGCAGAAGAGGACAGUGGAACUCCAUGUGUAGCGGUGGAAUGCGUAGAUAUAUGGAAGAACACCAGUGGCGAAGGCGGCUGUCUAGUCUGUAACUGACGCUGAGGCUCGAAAGCAUGGGUAGCAAACAGGAUUAGAUACCCUGGUAGUCCAUGCCGUAAACGAUGAGUGCUAGGUGUUGGAGGGUUUCCGCCCUUCAGUGCCGCAGCUAACGCAUUAAGCACUCCGCCUGGGGAGUACGACCGCAAGGUUGAAACUCAAAGGAAUUGACGGGGGCCCGCACAAGCGGUGGAGCAUGUGGUUUAAUUCGAAGCUACGCGAAGAACCUUACCAGGUCUUGACAUACUAUGCAAAUCCUAGAGAUAGGACGUUCCCUUCGGGGACAUGGAUACAGGUGGUGCAUGGUUGUCGUCAGCUCGUGUCGUGAGAUGUUGGGUUAAGUCCCGCAACGAGCGCAACCCUUAUUAUCAGUUGCCAGCAUUAAGUUGGGCACUCUGGUGAGACUGCCGGUGACAAACCGGAGGAAGGUGGGGAUGACGUCAAAUCAUCAUGCCCCUUAUGACCUGGGCUACACACGUGCUACAAUGGACGGUACAACGAGUCGCGAAGUCGUGAGGCUAAGCUAAUCUCUUAAAGCCGUUCUCAGUUCGGAUUGUAGGCUGCAACUCGCCUACAUGAAGUUGGAAUCGCUAGUAAUCGCGGAUCAGCAUGCCGCGGUGAAUACGUUCCCGGGCCUUGUACACACCGCCCGUCACACCAUGAGAGUUUGUAACACCCAAAG